RNAcentral lists this ribosomal RNA (253 nucleotides) under uncultured bacterium. RNAcentral describes it as "partial 16S ribosomal RNA". It matches the Rfam family "Bacterial small subunit ribosomal RNA", at positions 524 to 776 of the family's 1533-position model. The record is from RNAcentral.
UACAGAGGCCACAAGCGUUACGCGGAUUCAUUGGGCUUAAAGGGUGCGUAGGCGGGCCUUCAAGUGCCUUGUGAAAUCCCACGGCUCAACCGUGGAAUCGCUCGGUAGACUGGAGGCCUUGAGCUUGGCAGAGGCCGCCGGAACAGUAGGUGGAGCGGUGAAAUGCGUAGAUAUCUACUGGAACGCCAAAGGUGAAGACAGGCGGCUGGGCCAACGCUGACGCUGAGGCACGAAAGCGUGGGGAGCGAACGGG